This 73-nucleotide transfer RNA is filed under the name Trichonephila inaurata madagascariensis. It matches the Rfam family "tRNA". From Rfam's summary of the family: Transfer RNA (tRNA) molecules are approximately 80 nucleotides in length. Their secondary structure includes four short double-helical elements and three loops (D, anti-codon, and T loops). The record is from Rfam by way of RNAcentral. Lineage: Eukaryota; Metazoa; Arthropoda; Arachnida; Araneae; Nephilidae.
GUCCCUGUAGCGCAGUGUAUUGCGCGUUGGACUUCUAAUUCCAAGGUCGUGCGUUCAAAUCCCACCAGGGAUG